AUGGAAAAGUAUUGGUGGAGUAGCUCGAUCGACAAGAGGUCUCUUCACUGAUUCUCUUGGAAGGAAUUGGCAAAACCAAAUUGUCAGGGAGGGAUGGGUUUUUGCGACCUCCACAUGUUCAAUCUUGCACUCCUUGGCAAAAAUGGCUGGCGCUUCUUGACAAAUCCCACCUCACUUUGUGCCAGAGUUAUGAAGGGCAGAUACUUUCCAGACACAGAUUUCCUGCAUGCCACAGCACCUAAGGCCGCUUCGGCUACUUGGCGGGCAAUCAUUGCUGGACGAGAAGCUUUACUUGCGGGGAUUGUUCAGCGUGUUGGUGAUGGCACUUCAAUCAAUCCGUGGACAGACAAGUGGAUUCCCACAACACUAACCAGAGCCCCCUUGUUCAAACCGUCGGGCACGAACAUCACCCAAGUUAGCGAGUUCAUUGAUACAGAGAACUGGACUUGGAAUCAAGAUCUAGUUCGACACACUUUUAUCACACCGGAGGCAGAGGCUAUUCUGAAUAUUCCUCUUCGACGCGGCGGGGUGAAGACACAUUGGCAUGGGCACAUGAGAGAUCAGGCAUCUACACUGAUAAAUCAGCGUACCGAGCUCUAG
This 600-nucleotide ribosomal RNA is filed under the name Triticum aestivum (bread wheat). RNAcentral describes it as "partial small subunit ribosomal RNA". The record is from RNAcentral. Lineage: Eukaryota; Viridiplantae; Streptophyta; Magnoliopsida; Poales; Poaceae.